AAUCAAAGAAGGUAAUAAUCCUGUAGUCGAAAAUGUUGUCUCUCUUGAGUGGAUCCUGAGUACGACGGAGCACGUGAAAUUCCGUCGGAAUCUGGGAGGACCAUCUCCUAAGGCUAAAUACUCUCUAGUGACCGAUAGUGAACCAGUACCGUGAGGGAAAGGUGAAAAGCACCCCGGAAGGGGAGUGAAAUAGAACCUGAAACCGUGUGCUUACAAGUAGUCAGAGCCCGUUAAUGGGUGAUGGCGUGCCUUUUGUAGAAUGAACCGGCGAGUUACGAUUUGAUGCAAGGUUAAGCAGUAAAUGUGGAGCCGUAGCGAAAGCGAGUCUGAAUAGGGCGUUUAGUAUUUGGUCGUAGACCCGAAACCAGGUGAUCUACCCUUGGUCAGGUUGAAGUUCAGGUAACACUGAAUGGAGGACCGAACCGACUUACGUUGAAAAGUGAGCGGAUGAACUGAGGGUAGCGGAGAAAUUCCAAUCGAACCUGGAGAUAGCUGGUUCUCUCCGAAAUA
RNAcentral lists this ribosomal RNA (510 nucleotides) under Staphylococcus aureus. Its description in RNAcentral is "partial 23S ribosomal RNA". It matches the Rfam family "Bacterial large subunit ribosomal RNA", at positions 353 to 866 of the family's 2925-position model. The record is from RNAcentral. Lineage: Bacteria; Bacillati; Bacillota; Bacilli; Caryophanales; Staphylococcaceae.